This 471-nucleotide ribosomal RNA is filed under the name uncultured bacterium. Its description in RNAcentral is "bacterial SSU rRNA". It matches the Rfam family "Bacterial small subunit ribosomal RNA", at positions 28 to 513 of the family's 1533-position model. The record is from RNAcentral.
GACGAACGCUGGCGGCGUGCCUAACACAUGCAAGUCGAACGGGGUAAGGAGAGCUUGCUUUCCUUACUUAGUGGCGAACGGGUGAGUAACGCGUGAGAAACCUGCCUCUCAGUGGGGGACAACAGUUGGAAACGACUGCUAAUACCGCAUAACACUUUAGUACCGCAUGGUACAGAAGUCAAAGCUUUAUGUGCUGAGAGAUGGUCUCGCGUCUGAUUAGCUAGAUGGCGGGUAACGGCCCACCAUGGCGACGAUCAGUAGCCGGUCUGAGAGGAUGAACGGCCACAUUGGGACUGAGAUACGGCCAAACUCCUACGGGAGGCAGCAGUGGGAAUAUUGCACAAUGGGCGAAAAGCCUGAUGCAGCGACGCCGCGUGAGUGAUGAAGUAUUCGGUAUGUAAAGCUCUAUCAGCAGGGAAGAAAAUGACGGUAACCUGACCAAGAAGACCCCGGCUAACUAACGUGCCAGCA